This 1960-nucleotide unclassified non-coding RNA is filed under the name Hevea brasiliensis (rubber tree). Lineage: Eukaryota; Viridiplantae; Streptophyta; Magnoliopsida; Malpighiales; Euphorbiaceae. The record is from RNAcentral.
AAUCUGUUAAAUUAGAGGCUCAUUCACUAAACACAGGAUCAAAAACCCCUGCCCUUGUAACCGAUGCCCGUUUGACGAAUACCCCCUCCAAAACUACCCCUUUUAUAGAUGCCUCUUUGAAAAAUACCCCCAGUAUCACUAGUAGUCAAAAGAAGGAGAAUUUCCCUUUUAUGAGGGCUUUGAGAACCAUAGAGAAUAAGAGUGAUCCUUGUGGAGGAAAGUAUAUUUAUGUCCAUGAUUUGCCUCCUAGGUUUAAUGAGGAUAUGCUGAAGGAGUGUAGGAGCUUGAGUGUUUGGACCAAUAUGUGUAAGUUUACUAGUAAUGCCGGGCUGGGGCCCCCACUGGAGAAUGUUGAAGGGGUGUUUUCAAAUACAGGGUGGUAUGCCACAAAUCAGUUUGCGGUGGAUGUGAUAUUCAGUAAUAGGAUGAAGCAGUAUGAGUGCUUGACGAAUGAUUCUUCCAUUGCUGCAGCAAUUUUUGUACCAUUCUAUGCAGGGUUUGAUAUUGCAAGGUAUCUUUGGGGAUAUAAUAUCUCAACCAGAGACGCUGCUUCUCUUGAGUUGGUCGAUUGGCUUAUGAAGAGACCAGAGUGGAGGAUUAUGGGAGGCAAGGAUCAUUUUCUGGUGGCAGGGAGGAUAACUUGGGAUUUCAGGAGGUUAACAGACGAGGAAUCAGAUUGGGGAAACAAACUACUCUUUUUGCCUGCUGCAAAAAAUAUGUCAAUGCUUGUGGUUGAAUCCAGUCCAUGGAAUGCAAAUGAUUUUGGCAUUCCUUAUCCUACCUAUUUCCAUCCUGCAAAGGAUGAUGAUGUGUUUAUUUGGCAAGAGCGGAUGAGGAAUUUAGAAAGAAAAUGGCUUUUCUCUUUUGCUGGGGCACCACGUCAUGAUAAUCCAAAAUCAAUCAGGGGCCAGAUCAUAGAUCAGUGUAAGAAGUCAAAGGUAGGCAAGCUGUUGGAAUGUGAUUUUGGAGAGAGCAAAUGUCAUUCUCCAAGCAGUAUAAUGCAGAUGUUUCAGAGCUCCCUUUUCUGCUUGCAACCCCAGGGUGAUUCAUAUACACGAAGGUCAGCUUUUGACUCAAUGUUGGCAGGUUGCAUUCCUGUCUUCUUUCACCCUGGCUCAGCUUACACACAAUAUACUUGGCAUCUUCCAAAGAACUAUACUACUUAUUCGUUAUUUAUUCCAGAGGAUGAUAUCCGUAAAAGAAAUGUUAGCAUUGAGGAAGUGCUUAGUAAGAUUCCUCCUGAGCAGGUGAAGAUCAUGAGGGAGAAAGUCAUAAGUCUCAUCCCAGGGCUUAUAUAUGCAGAUCCUCGCUCAAAAUUGGAGACUCUUAAAGAUUCUUUUGAUGUUGCUGUUCAGGCAGUCAUUGACAAAGUUACAAGGUUGAGGAGAAACAUUAUUCAGGGCCGUACAGAAUAUGAUAAUUUUGUGGAGGAGAACAGUUGGAAAUAUGAAUUGUUGGAUGAAGGACAGCGUGAGGUGGGAGCUCAUGAAUGGGAUCCCUUCUUCUCAAAACCAAAGGAUGGCAAUAGUGAUUCUGGUGGUUCAUCUGCGGAAGCUGCCAAAAACUCAUGGAAGAAUGAGCAGAGAGAUCAAUCAUGAGAUCAAGGUGAUAGUAGCAAUGGAAGUUGGAGUAAUUCCUAAUGUACAAAAGGGCAAAGAACGAGACUGCCCACCCUGGUGUCGGUAGGUCGGACAAGGAUCCUUUAGGUCCCUUGCAAAUUGCAGUGAAAACGUAGGAAUCACAAUCAAGUUUAUCAGCUCAGUUCCUUGUUUGUCAAAGAGAAAUACAGAUUCAUGUUAUCUAUUUCUAACAUACUUAUAUAAUGGAAAUUUUCCUUUCACCUUUUGUGUUAUUGAUUUCGAUUAACAAUUCUUUGUAUUUUAUUGUAGCUGACGUAUCAUCUUUUUGUUUCUUUUCCUAUUAUUACAUAGAAGAAAUAAAAACAAUCAGUGUUCAAUAA